CUGAAUAACUACGCAGAUCGCACGGUCUAGUACCGGCGACAUAUCCUUCAAGUGUCUGCCUUAUCAACUGUCGAAGGUAGUUUAUACGACUACCUUGGUGGUAACGGGUAACGGAAUUUUCGGGAAUGAUUCCGGAGAGGGAGCCUGAGAAACGGCUACCACAUCCAAGGAAGGCAGCAGGCGCGCAAAUUACCCACUCUCAGCUCGAGGAGGUAGUGACGAAAAAUAACGAGACAGUUCUCUAUGAGGUCUGUCAUUGGAAUGGGUACAAUCGAAACCCUUUAACGAGGAUCAAUUGGAGGGCAAGUCUGGUGCCAGCAGCCGCGGUAAUUCCAGCUCCAAUAGCGUAUAUUAAAGUUGUUGCGGUUAAAAAG
Molecule: ribosomal RNA, 374 nt
Filed under: Nematoda sp.
Lineage: Eukaryota; Metazoa; Nematoda
Description: SSU rRNA
Rfam family: Eukaryotic small subunit ribosomal RNA
Source: RNAcentral